Molecule: transfer RNA, 69 nt
Filed under: Pachydactylus punctatus
Lineage: Eukaryota; Metazoa; Chordata; Lepidosauria; Squamata; Gekkonidae
Description: tRNA-His
Rfam family: tRNA
About the family: Transfer RNA (tRNA) molecules are approximately 80 nucleotides in length. Their secondary structure includes four short double-helical elements and three loops (D, anti-codon, and T loops).
Source: RNAcentral
GUGAACAUAGUUUAACCAAAACACUAGGCUGUGGACCUAAAAAUAAGAACUAAAUAUUCUUUGCUCACC